UAGUUUAUUCUUAUUGGGUACUGAAAUUCCAUUGUCUUUUACGUUAAACAGUUAAGUUCUCAUAAGAAUAUUUACCAAACUCCAAAAAAAACCCAAACAUGAAGUAUAUAAUAUUGUUAAUUUGCUUAAUGACACUAGGUUUGUUUACGACAAACACAUCCGGUAUUCCUGUAACUAUCGUUGAUACAUUUUUGACGUCACAUCAUGGAAAAGUGUUGACCGAACUAUCUAGAAGUCAUAAGGUUCACGAUUUGCUAGACAAAACAUUUCAUAAACUAGAAGAGACCAACGAUACACGAGAAGUGCAAAAAUCAAACUUUAGGCCCAUUCCGAGUGAGUCAGUUGCAAACCAAACCA
Adelges cooleyi (spruce gall adelgid) is the source of this 357-nucleotide long non-coding RNA. RefSeq lists it as uncharacterized. Lineage: Eukaryota; Metazoa; Arthropoda; Insecta; Hemiptera; Adelgidae. The record is from RefSeq and is a predicted model, not a curated record. The transcript is spliced from 3 exons.